This 424-nucleotide ribosomal RNA is filed under the name Fusobacteriota bacterium. Its description in RNAcentral is "Fusobacteria bacterium partial 16S ribosomal RNA". It matches the Rfam family "Bacterial small subunit ribosomal RNA", at positions 355 to 776 of the family's 1533-position model. Lineage: Bacteria; Fusobacteriati; Fusobacteriota. The record is from RNAcentral.
UGAGGAAUAUUGGUCAAUGGGCGAGAGCCUGAACCAGCCAAGUCGCGUGAAGGAAGACAGUCCUAAGGAUUGUAAACUUCUUUUAUACGGGAAUAACGGGCGAUACGAGUAUUGCAUUGAAUGUACCGUAAGAAUAAGCAUCGGCUAACUCCGUGCCAGCAGCCGCGGUAAUACGGAGGAUGCGAGCGUUAUCCGGAUUUAUUGGGUUUAAAGGGUGCGUAGGUUGUUCGGUAAGUCAGCGGUGAAACCUGAGCGCUCAACGUUCAGCCUGCCGUUGAAACUGCCGGGCUUGAGUUCAGUGGCGGCAGGCGGAAUUCGUUGUGUAGCGGUGAAAUGCAUAGAUAUCACGAGGAACUCCGAUUGCGAAGGCAGCUUGCCAUACUGCGACUGACACUGAAGCACGAAGGCGUGGGUAUCAAACAGG